This 670-nucleotide ribosomal RNA is filed under the name uncultured Bacteroidales bacterium. Its description in RNAcentral is "bacterial SSU rRNA". It matches the Rfam family "Bacterial small subunit ribosomal RNA", at positions 59 to 718 of the family's 1533-position model. The record is from RNAcentral. Lineage: Bacteria; Pseudomonadati; Bacteroidota; Bacteroidia; Bacteroidales.
AAGUCGAGGGGCAUCGGGAUUGAAGCUUGCUUCAAUUGCCGGCGACCGGCGCACGGGUGCGUAACGCGUAUGUAACCUACCUAUAACAGGGGCAUAACACUGAGAAAUUGGUACUAAUUCCCCAUAAUAUUCGGAGAGGCAUCUCUCCGGGUUGAAAACUCCGGUGGUUAUAGAUGGACAUGCGUUGUAUUAGCUAGUUGGUGAGGUAACGGCUCACCAAGGCAACGAUACAUAGGGGGACUGAGAGGUUAACCCCCCACACUGGUACUGAGACACGGACCAGACUCCUACGGGAGGCAGCAGUGAGGAAUAUUGGUCAAUGGACGCAAGUCUGAACCAGCCAUGCCGCGUGCAGGAAGACGGCUCUAUGAGUUGUAAACUGCUUUUGUACGAGGGUAAACUCACCUACGUGUAGGUGACUGAAAGUAUCGUACGAAUAAGGAUCGGCUAACUCCGUGCCAGCAGCCGCGGUAAUACGGAGGAUUCAAGCGUUAUCCGGAUUUAUUGGGUUUAAAGGGUGCGUAGGCGGUUUGAUAAGUUAGAGGUGAAAUCCCGGGGCUUAACUCCGGAACUGCCUCUAAUACUGUUAGACUAGAGAGUAGUUGCGGUAGGCGGAAUGUAUGGUGUAGCGGUGAAAUGCUUAGAGACUCAUACAGAACACCGAUUGCGA